GGGCUUAUCUUCGCGGAUGCAUCUAGAUUAGAGUUUGAUCCUGGCUCAGGAUGAACGCUGGCGGCGUGCUUAACACAUGCAAGUCGAACGGUGAAGCCCAGCUUGCUGGGUGGAUCAGUGGCGAACGGGUGAGUAACACGUGAGCAAUCUGCCCCUGACUCUGGGAUAAGCGCUGGAAACGGCGUCUAAUACUGGAUAUGAGCUGCGACCGCAUGGUCAGUAGUUGGAAAGAUUUUCGGUCAGGGAUGAGCUCGCGGCCUAUCAGCUUGUUGGUGAGGUAAUGGCUCACCAGGGCGUCGACGGGUAGCCGGCCUGAGAGGGUGACCGGCCACACUGGGACUGAGACACGGCCCAGACUCCUACGGGAGGCAGCAGUGGGGAAUAUUGCACAAUGGGCGGAAGCCUGAUGCAGCAACGCCGCGUGAGGGAUGACGGCCUUCGGGUUGUAAACCUCUUUUAGCAAGGAAGAAGCGAAAGUGACGGUACUUGCAGAAAAAGCGCCGGCUAACUACGUGCCAGCAGCCGCGGUAAUACGUAGGGCGCAAGCGUUAUCCGGAAUUAUUGGGCGUAAAGAGCUCGUAGGCGGUUUGUCGCGUCUGCUGUGAAAUCCCGAGGCUCAACCUCGGGCCUGCAGUGGGUACGGGCAGACUAGAGUGCGGUAGGGGAGAUUGGAAUUCCUGGUGUAGCGGUGGAAUGCGCAGAUAUCAGGAGGAACACCGAUGGCGAAGGCAGAUCUCUGGGCCGUAACUGACGCUGAGGAGCGAAAGGGUGGGGAGCAAACAGGCUUAGAUACCCUGGUAGUCCACCCCGUAAACGUUGGGAACUAGUUGUGGGGACCAUUCCACGGUUUCCGUGACGCAGCUAACGCAUUAAGUUCCCCGCCUGGGGAGUACGGCCGCAAGGCUAAAACUCAAAGGAAUUGACGGGGACCCGCACAAGCGGCGGAGCAUGCGGAUUAUUCGAUGCACGCGAGACCUUACCAGCUGACAUACACCAGACGCCCUAGAAAUAGGGACUCUUGACACUGUGACAGUGGUGCAUGCUGUCGUCAGCUCGUGUCGUGAGAUGUGGUUAGGUCCGCACGAGCGCACCCUCGUUCUAUGUGCAGGCACGUAUGGUGGCACUCAUGGCAUACUGGCGGUCACUCAGCAGUGCGAUACGUCAUCAUCAUGACCUAAUGCUUGGGGUC
Molecule: ribosomal RNA, 1189 nt
Filed under: Microbacterium sp.
Lineage: Bacteria; Bacillati; Actinomycetota; Actinomycetes; Micrococcales; Microbacteriaceae
Description: bacterial SSU rRNA
Rfam family: Bacterial small subunit ribosomal RNA
Source: RNAcentral